UCAGGCCUAACACAUGCAAGUCGAACGGAUCACUUCGGUGGUUAGUGGCGAACGGGUGAGUAAUGCCUAGGAAUCUGCCUAUUAGCGGGGGAUAACGUUCCGAAAGGAACGCUAAUACCGCAUACGCCCUACGGGGGAAAGCAGGGGAUCUUCGGACCUUGCACUAAUAGAUGAGCCUAGGUCAGAUUAGCUAGUUGGUGGGGUAAAGGCUCACCAAGGCGACGAUCUGUAGCGGGUCUGAGAGGAUGAUCCGCCACACUGGAAGUGAGACACGGUCCAGACUCCUACGGGAGGCAGCAGUGGGGAAUAUUGGCCAAUGGGCG
This 323-nucleotide ribosomal RNA is filed under the name uncultured bacterium. Its description in RNAcentral is "bacterial SSU rRNA". It matches the Rfam family "Bacterial small subunit ribosomal RNA", at positions 43 to 377 of the family's 1533-position model. The record is from RNAcentral.